UUCUUUUUUUUUUCCCCAGGGCCACACCUGCGACAUAUGGAGGUACACAGGCUAGGGGCUGAAUCAGAGCUGUAGCUAUGGGCCUAUACCACAGCCAGAGCAACAUGGGGAUCUGGGCCGAGUCUGUGACCUACACCACAGCUUACAGCAAUGCCGUAUCCUUAACUCACUGAGCAAGGCCAGGGACUGAGCCUACAACCUCGUGGUUACUAGUUGGAUUUGUUUCCCCUCCUCCACAACGGGAACUCCCCAUGUUCAACUUUCAACAGAAACUUACCACACUGAAAGGCAAAAAACACAGUUUGAAGAGACACAGCAAGUAUCGGAACUAUACCCAGAUAGAGUACAGAUUUAGGAAUUAUCAGACCAGAAGUUUAAAAUAACUGUGAUUUAUGUGCAAAGGGCUCUAAAGUAUCCAUCUAUUUAUCUUCUUCAUCUCAGUCAGACCAUGAAUGCUACUUUGUCUUUUGUACAUACAACAUACAACAUCAUGUUCGACUUCAUAACAUAUUUAAAUCUAACAAACGGGUUUACCUUUAUCUUUUAUCAAGUUAUUUUCUUGGUUAAUUUGUGAAAUUCUUCCCUAAAAGACAUCUUGGUGUUGUUUAUUCUUACAAAAAAAAUAACUUAAAAUUGCAAUCACACUAAACAUUGGAUGAUUGUAUUCUACUCAAUUCUUUCAGUUGAUUUUAUUUUUAAAACUUCACAUUCUUACAUCAGAUAGGUGAUACUUCCAAGAACACAGGGGUGAAUAAAGCAAAUAUUGAACCUCUUCUUUUAGAGUUUCAGUUUGGCAGAGAAAGAGAUAUAAACCAAUAAUUAUGAUAAUUAUUUCAAUUAAGUUGCCUGCUUCAAUGAGAAUGAGAGAGGCAAAGGGAUUCUCUUGCCAUAAUCUCGAAUGAGGCCUCUCAAGAAGGGGAGAAAGCAGAUGUGCUCUAGAAAGUGCCCCCCCCCAAAAAAAAACAAGGCAGAUUUCCCAUUGGUAUAUAGGUAUAUGGGUCUGGAAUGUGCAACAAUGUACAUCCUGGAGAUAUUAAUUUGCAACUUAAGUAUGUUUAGAAAUCAGGACAUGGUAGGGAAUGUUUUUUCUUACCAGUAGGAUGUAGAAUGAAAAGAUGACCUAAAGCUUAUGAGGACCUUGAACUUUUAAGCCUGAGACAGAGAAGGAGACACUGCAAAGGAAACAGAAAUGGAGUAGCUCAUGCAGUUAGGAGCCAACCAGGGAAGAACAACCUUCAGAAAGCACUGAAGAAGAAAACAAAGGAGAAUUGCACAAGAUCAAACUUUAAUAAUUAUUUAAUGGGGAUAGUGGAUUCUGUAUUGAAUCUAGAUCAUGUAUGAUUCUGGGGGACCUCUUUACUUCCCCGAGCCUCAGCUUCUUCAAAUAUAAAGUGAAACUAUUCCUAGAGCUGUUGUGAGGAGUAGAAAAUAUGAAACAUUCGAAAGCACUUAGCAGCUUAUCAUCCCCUGAGUGAAGGCUAAACAGGUAGUGACUAUUUUCUUGUUUUCAUGUAAAGAGACAUGGCAAAAAUGAAUUCUCCUACCCCUCUCUCUGUAACUGACUGCACAACACUGACAGUCUGCAAAACAGAAUGGGAAACAGUGUCUCAUCAAUCAUAUAGAAUUACAUACACAAUAAUAUGAUACAUAUACAUAUGUGGUACACAUACAUAAAACAUAGACAUAAUAAAAUAAACUACAUAAAGUAUACCACAUAUCUAUCUGCUGAUGCUCAUUCCUGGAACACUUUCCUCUUCCUCUCUGCUUUCCUGGAUCCCAUUCUUGCACUGCAACAUCACAAUACUUUCCUUCUUCCCAGUAUAGAAAUCCUCAUUCACAGGCUGCAUCAAGCUGUACUGCCCAUUCGUAUAACUGUUUCCUUUCUUAUUAGGGUUUCUGGCUGUCAAUUUCCCCUUAAGACAAGAAAGUCACCAAGUGCAAGCAGAAGUUGAGGGAAAGUUCUAGGUUUCACUACAGCAUGACUCCAGGCUCUCUGCUUGCCAAGCACUGCAGGUCCAGACUGUCCAGUUCCAAGAAACACAGGAAAUAGAGGGAACCCCGCCCAACACUGAACUUUAGGGGAACUCAGGAGCUCAGCUGUGCCUCUAUUGGGCGCUUCCACAUGGAUGGCAUCAGGAGGGUCUCCCCUGGCUCAGGACUCUCACUGAUUCAAAAAGCCCAAAGCCCAGGAUUCAUGGAGGUGAAAGUCAGCAGCAGCUGGAGAACUUGGAACAGGAACAGAGAUGUUUUAAGCUUUCACUGGAACAGCAGCAGAUCCUUCGGACAAAAAACAACAUGCAUGAGCUGCACUGAGGCAACACUGAAGAACAUUCCUUUUCAGAAAAUGAGAGACUGAAGUGGAUGCUGAGAGCACAGGGAGCACACAAACACAUGGCCCCUAGCGGUGUCCCCAGCAUGGGGGACACUGAUACCACAGCAGCUUGCAGAGCAUCAGAAGGGAUGAGGGUUCCUCCAGUGCCAGCUGAAAACCUGUUUCCUCCUUAGGACCCAGCAAGUCAUCACAGAGCAGAGAAGGGUAUUCCAGGGGACAAUGCCAUCCAAGGAAUUUCUUUUUUUUUUUUUUUUUUUUGUCUUUUUGCCAUUUCUUGGGCCGCUCUCGCGGCAUAUGGAGGUUCCCAGGCUAGGGGUCUAAUCGGAGCUGUAGCCACUGGCCUACGCCAGAGCCACAGCAACGCGGGAUCCGAGCCGCGUCUGCGACCUACACCACAGCUCACGGCAACGCCAGAUAUUUAACCCACUGAGCAAGGGCAGGGAUCGAACCCGCAACCUCAUGGUUCCUAGUCGGAUUCGUUAACCACUGCGCCACCACGGGAACUCCAGGAAUUUCUUACUUUGCAUCAUGAUACAGCCUCUUUGAAAGGUGAAAAGAAUAAAGCCAUGCCGAACAGAAGGCACACAGGCAGGGAUUUUGAUACAUUAGCAACCAGUGGGGUAGAGCCUUCCAAGGAGGACAUGCUGUGCUCAGCAACGUGCACAAUGGAAGAUGACGACUUCUCAAAGCAACAAAGACCUUUCUGGAAACACAUUUAUGUAAUUUAGGCAAUUUGAAAAGUGGACAUUAAUGGAUCAGUCUCUUUGCUUUGCAUACUGCACUAAGUAGGGACAUUUAAAGCCAAAGGAACAUUUCAAGUCUUUGAGAGGUUUGAAAACCUUCCUGCGAAUUAGCAUCCAAACAAU
This 3198-nucleotide long non-coding RNA is filed under the name Sus scrofa (pig). RNAcentral describes it as "lncRNA (ENSSSCG00000054559.1)". Lineage: Eukaryota; Metazoa; Chordata; Mammalia; Artiodactyla; Suidae. The record is from RNAcentral.